RNAcentral lists this ribosomal RNA (256 nucleotides) under uncultured bacterium. RNAcentral describes it as "partial 16S ribosomal RNA". It matches the Rfam family "Bacterial small subunit ribosomal RNA", at positions 57 to 305 of the family's 1533-position model. The record is from RNAcentral.
GCAAGUCGAACGGUAACAGAAGAAAAGCUUGCUUUUCUUGCUGACGAGUGGCGGACGGGUGAGUAACGCGUGGGAAUCUACCCUUUAGUUGGGGACAACAUAUGGAAACGUAUGCUAAUACCGAAUAUGCUCUACGGAGUAAAGGUGCCCUCUCCUUGGAAGGUAUCGCUAAAGGAUGAGCCCGCGUUAGAUUAGCUAGUUGGUAGGGUAAAGGCCUACCAAGGCGACGAUCUAUAGCUGGUUUGAGAGGAUGAUC